AACGCAUCUUGCGCUCCUUGGUAUUCCGAGGAGCAUGCCUGUUUGAGUGUCAUCUAAGUCCUCAAACCACAUUGAUUGUUUUCGGUGUGGUUUGGAUGUGGAGGUUUUUUGCAGGCUUUAGAAAUGAAGUCUGCUCCUCUGAAAUGCAUUAGUGGUAUCUGAGCAGAAGAACUACUACAGGUGUGAUAAUUUAUCUACGCCUUGGUAAAUGCUGCACGAACAGAUUGCACUGCUUCCAACCCAAAAAAUUUAUUUUGGAGACCUCAAAUCAGGUAGGACUACCCGCUGAACUUAA
RNAcentral lists this unclassified non-coding RNA (295 nucleotides) under uncultured Inocybaceae. RNAcentral describes it as "sequence contains ITS2". The stretch from base 1 to 52 matches the Rfam family "5.8S ribosomal RNA", at positions 103 to 154 of the family's 154-position model. The record is from RNAcentral. Lineage: Eukaryota; Fungi; Basidiomycota; Agaricomycetes; Agaricales.